RNAcentral lists this ribosomal RNA (497 nucleotides) under uncultured bacterium. RNAcentral's name for it is "partial 16S ribosomal RNA". It matches the Rfam family "Bacterial small subunit ribosomal RNA", at positions 28 to 507 of the family's 1533-position model. The record is from RNAcentral.
GACGAACGCUGGCGGCGUGCCUAAUACAUGCAAGUUGAGCGCUGAAGGUUGGUACUUGUACCAACUGGAUGAGCAGCGAACGGGUGAGUAACGCGUGGGGAAUCUGCCUUUGAGCGGGGGACAACAUUUGGAAACGAAUGCUAAUACCGCAUAACAACUUUAAACACAAGUUUUAAGUUUGAAAGAUGCAAUUGCAUCACUCAAAGAUGAUCCCGCGUUGUAUUAGCUAGUUGGUGAGGUAAAGGCUCACCAAGGCGAUGAUACAUAGCCGACCUGAGAGGGUGAUCGGCCACAUUGGGACUGAGACACGGCCCAAACUCCUACGGGAGGCAGCAGUAGGGAAUCUUCGGCAAUGGACGAAAGUCUGACCGAGCAACGCCGCGUGAGUGAAGAAGGUUUUCGGAUCGUAAAACUCUGUUGGUAGAGAAGAACGUUGGUGAGAGUGGAAAGCUCAUCAAGUGACGGUAACUACCCAGAAAGGGACGGCUAACUACGUG